Chrysemys picta bellii (western painted turtle) is the source of this 109-nucleotide small nuclear RNA. Lineage: Eukaryota; Metazoa; Chordata; Testudines; Emydidae. The record is from Ensembl.
CUGCUCAACCUUCAGCACCACAUAGACUAAAAAUGGAAUGAUACAGAGAAGAUUAGCAUGGCCUCUGCGUCAAGAUGACAUGCAAAUUCAUGACGCAUUCCAUAAGGCG